Molecule: ribosomal RNA, 301 nt
Filed under: uncultured bacterium
Lineage: Bacteria
Description: partial 16S ribosomal RNA
Rfam family: Bacterial small subunit ribosomal RNA
Source: RNAcentral
CAGUAGCCGCGGUAAUACAGAGGGUGCAAGCGUUAAUCGGAAUUACUGGGCGUAAAGCGCGCGUAGGUGGUUUGUUAAGUUGGAUGUGAAAUCCCCGGGCUCAACCUGGGAACUGCAUCCAAAACUGGCAAGCUAGAGUAUGGUAGAGGGUGGUGGAAUUUCCUGUGUAGCGGUGAAAUGCGUAGAUAUAGGAAGGAACACCAGUGGCGAAGGCGACCACCUGGACUGAUACUGACACUGAGGUGCGAAAGCGUGGGGAGCAAACAGGAUUAGAUACCCGGGUAGUCCCUGUCUCUUAUAC